UACGUAGGGGGCAAGCGUUGUCCGGAUUUAUUGGGCGUAAAGAGCGUGUAGGCGGCUAGAUAGGUCCGUUGUGAAAACUCGAGGCUCAACCUCGAGACGUCGAUGGAAACCAUCUGGCUAGAGUCCGGAAGAGGAGAGUGGAAUUCCUGGUGUAGCGGUGAAAUGCGCAGAUAUCAGGAAGAACACCCGUGGCGAAGGCGGCUCUCUGGUACGUGACUGACGCUGGGACGCGAAAGCGUGGGGAGCAAACAGG
This 253-nucleotide ribosomal RNA is filed under the name uncultured bacterium. RNAcentral describes it as "partial 16S ribosomal RNA". It matches the Rfam family "Bacterial small subunit ribosomal RNA", at positions 524 to 776 of the family's 1533-position model. The record is from RNAcentral.